RNAcentral lists this ribosomal RNA (191 nucleotides) under uncultured bacterium. RNAcentral describes it as "partial 16S ribosomal RNA". It matches the Rfam family "Bacterial small subunit ribosomal RNA", at positions 1310 to 1500 of the family's 1533-position model. The record is from RNAcentral.
ACUCGCCUGCAUGAAGGCGGAAUUGCUAGUAAUCGCGAAUCAGAAUGUCGCGGUGAAUACGUUCCCGGGCCUUGUACACACCGCCCGUCACACCAUGAGAGUCGAUAACACCCGAAGCCUGUAGUCUAACCGCAAGGAGGACGCAGUCGAAGGUGGGAUUGAUGACUGGGGUGAAGUCGUAACAAGGUAAC